GGGAUGUAACUGUAAGAUUUUCAUAACAUAGAAGAUGUAAGUGUUUAGUGUGAUUAAUUAUUGUCGAUAAUUAUAAAGUGUUUUGAGCUUUGACUAUCUCUAUUGAUAUAUUUUAAAAUUAUAUAUUUAAAAAAUAUUUAAAUAUGUAGUUUCAAAAUUUAUUUAAAUAUAAUAAAUAAUAGAAUUACUUAAUUAGAGGUUUAAUUAAUUAUAAAAUUAACUAAUGAUUCACAAGUUAUCAAAUCGGCUUAAUAUAGAGGAGCAAGACUACAA
RNAcentral lists this long non-coding RNA (273 nucleotides) under Capsicum annuum. RNAcentral describes it as "long non-coding RNA (CANN_LNC001711)". The record is from RNAcentral. Lineage: Eukaryota; Viridiplantae; Streptophyta; Magnoliopsida; Solanales; Solanaceae.